GAUGAACGCUGGCGGCGUGCCUAAUACAUGCAAGUCGAGCGAACGGACGAGAAGCUUGCUUCUCUGAUGUUAGCGGCGGACGGGUGAGUAACACGUGGAUAACCUACCUAUAAGACUGGGAUAACUUCGGGAAACCGGAGCUAAUACCGGAUAAUAUUUUGAACCGCAUGGUUCAAAAGUGAAAGACGGUCCUGCUGUCACUUAUAGAUGGAUCCGCGCUGCAUUAGCUAGUUGGUAAGGUAACGGCUUACCAAGGCAACGAUGCAUAGCCGACCUGAGAGGGUGAUCGGCCACACUGGAACUGAGACACGGUCCAGACUCCUACGGGAGGCAGCAGUAGGGAAUCUUCCGCAAUGGGCGAAAGCCUGACGGAGCAACGCCGCGUGAGUGAUAAAGGUCUUCGGAUCGUAAAACUCUGUUAUUAGGGAAGAACAUAUGUGUAAGUAACUGUGCACAUCUUGACGGUACCUAAUCAGAAAGCCACGGCUAACUACGUG
RNAcentral lists this ribosomal RNA (497 nucleotides) under uncultured bacterium. RNAcentral describes it as "partial 16S ribosomal RNA". It matches the Rfam family "Bacterial small subunit ribosomal RNA", at positions 28 to 507 of the family's 1533-position model. The record is from RNAcentral.